This 529-nucleotide ribosomal RNA is filed under the name uncultured eukaryote. RNAcentral describes it as "SSU rRNA". It matches the Rfam family "Eukaryotic small subunit ribosomal RNA", at positions 21 to 549 of the family's 1831-position model. The record is from RNAcentral.
UAGUCAUAUGCUUGUCUCAAAGAUUAAGCCAUGCAUGUCUAAGCACAAGCCGAUUAAUGGCGAAGCCGCGAAUGGCUCAUUACAACAGCCAUAGUUUCUUAGAUCUUACUUUUCUACUUGGAUAACUGUGGUAAUUCUAGAGCUAAUACACGCAAACAAGCUCAGACCUUACGGAAUGAGCGCAUUUAUUAGAACAAAAACCAAUCGGGCUUCGGUCCGUCAUUUGGUGAAUCUGAAUAACUUUGCUGAUCGCACGGUCUUCGUACCGGCGACAUAUCUUUCAAAUGUCUGCCUUAUCAACUUUCGAUGGUAGUUAUGCGCCUACCAUGGUUGUAACGGGUAACGGAGAAUAGGGGUUCGACUCCGGAGAGGGAGCCUGAGAAACGGCUACCACAUCCAAGGAAGGCAGCAGGCACGCAAAUUACCCACUCCCGGCACGGGGAGGUAGUGACGAAAAAUAACGAGACGGCUCGCUAUGCGGUCCGUCAUCGGAAUGGGUACAAUUUAAAUCCUUUAACGAGGAUCUAUU